This is a non-coding RNA of Cinara cedri, 353 nucleotides long. The record is from the annotation of a GenBank genome assembly. Lineage: Eukaryota; Metazoa; Arthropoda; Insecta; Hemiptera; Aphididae.
UUAACGUAUAAUAAUAUAGUAUUUAUUUUCGAAUUUAUAAUGAAAUGUAUUACAUUGCCUAUGUAUAUAAUAUUGUGAUUGUAAAAGUUUGUGAAACAUAAAAAUAUUUAUUUAAAUUCAUUAUAUUAUGGGUACAAGAAGGUAUCUGAUAUUUCUGUGCCUGUCCCAUUCGAUAUUAAAUCUAAAGUUAAAUUACAAACAUAGGUAUAAAACGAAUAUUUACAUGAAAAUCGUACCGACUAUUCAUACAUUCUUUGUGAUGAAUCUAUAUAAUACGAAAUAUAAUAAUAUUAUCCGUAUCAUUAUUUACUCUAAAUAUUUAUUCGUCUCGUACAUUGAAAAUCCUAAGGGGG